Molecule: ribosomal RNA, 2901 nt
Filed under: Escherichia coli O22:H8
Lineage: Bacteria; Pseudomonadati; Pseudomonadota; Gammaproteobacteria; Enterobacterales; Enterobacteriaceae
Description: 23S ribosomal RNA
Rfam family: Bacterial large subunit ribosomal RNA
Source: RNAcentral
UUAAGCGACUAAGCGUACACGGUGGAUGCCCUGGCAGUCAGAGGCGAUGAAGGACGUGCUAAUCUGCGAUAAGCGUCGGUAAGGUGAUAUGAACCGUUAUAACCGGCGAUUUCCGAAUGGGGAAACCCAGUGUGAUUCGUCACACUAUCAUUAACUGAAUCCAUAGGUUAAUGAGGCGAACCGGGGGAACUGAAACAUCUAAGUACCCCGAGGAAAAGAAAUCAACCGAGAUUCCCCCAGUAGCGGCGAGCGAACGGGGAGCAGCCCAGAGCCUGAAUCAGUGUGUGUGUUAGUGGAAGCGUCUGGAAAGGCGCGCGAUACAGGGUGACAGCCCCGUACACAAAAAUGCACAUGCUGUGAGCUCGAUGAGUAGGGCGGGACACGUGGUAUCCUGUCUGAAUAUGGGGGGACCAUCCUCCAAGGCUAAAUACUCCUGACUGACCGAUAGUGAACCAGUACCGUGAGGGAAAGGCGAAAAGAACCCCGGCGAGGGGAGUGAAAAAGAACCUGAAACCGUGUACGUACAAGCAGUGGGAGCACGCUUAGGCGUGUGACUGCGUACCUUUUGUAUAAUGGGUCAGCGACUUAUAUUCUGUAGCAAGGUUAACCGAAUAGGGGAGCCGAAGGGAAACCGAGUCUUAACUGGGCGUUAAGUUGCAGGGUAUAGACCCGAAACCCGGUGAUCUAGCCAUGGGCAGGUUGAAGGUUGGGUAACACUAACUGGAGGACCGAACCGACUAAUGUUGAAAAAUUAGCGGAUGACUUGUGGCUGGGGGUGAAAGGCCAAUCAAACCGGGAGAUAGCUGGUUCUCCCCGAAAGCUAUUUAGGUAGCGCCUCGUGAAUUCAUCUCCGGGGGUAGAGCACUGUUUCGGCAAGGGGGUCAUCCCGACUUACCAACCCGAUGCAAACUGCGAAUACCGGAGAAUGUUAUCACGGGAGACACACGGCGGGUGCUAACGUCCGUCGUGAAGAGGGAAACAACCCAGACCGCCAGCUAAGGUCCCAAAGUCAUGGUUAAGUGGGAAACGAUGUGGGAAGGCCCAGACAGCCAGGAUGUUGGCUUAGAAGCAGCCAUCAUUUAAAGAAAGCGUAAUAGCUCACUGGUCGAGUCGGCCUGCGCGGAAGAUGUAACGGGGCUAAACCAUGCACCGAAGCUGCGGCAGCGACGCUUAUGCGUUGUUGGGUAGGGGAGCGUUCUGUAAGCCUGCGAAGGUGUGCUGUGAGGCAUGCUGGAGGUAUCAGAAGUGCGAAUGCUGACAUAAGUAACGAUAAAGCGGGUGAAAAGCCCGCUCGCCGGAAGACCAAGGGUUCCUGUCCAACGUUAAUCGGGGCAGGGUGAGUCGACCCCUAAGGCGAGGCCGAAAGGCGUAGUCGAUGGGAAACAGGUUAAUAUUCCUGUACUUGGUGUUACUGCGAAGGGGGGACGGAGAAGGCUAUGUUGGCCGGGCGACGGUUGUCCCGGUUUAAGCGUGUAGGCUGGUUUUCCAGGCAAAUCCGGAAAAUCAAGGCUGAGGCGUGAUGACGAGGCACUACGGUGCUGAAGCAACAAAUGCCCUGCUUCCAGGAAAAGCCUCUAAGCAUCAGGUAACAUCAAAUCGUACCCCAAACCGACACAGGUGGUCAGGUAGAGAAUACCAAGGCGCUUGAGAGAACUCGGGUGAAGGAACUAGGCAAAAUGGUGCCGUAACUUCGGGAGAAGGCACGCUGAUAUGUAGGUGAAGUCCCUCGCGGAUGGAGCUGAAAUCAGUCGAAGAUACCAGCUGGCUGCAACUGUUUAUUAAAAACACAGCACUGUGCAAACACGAAAGUGGACGUAUACGGUGUGACGCCUGCCCGGUGCCGGAAGGUUAAUUGAUGGGGUUAGCGCAAGCGAAGCUCUUGAUCGAAGCCCCGGUAAACGGCGGCCGUAACUAUAACGGUCCUAAGGUAGCGAAAUUCCUUGUCGGGUAAGUUCCGACCUGCACGAAUGGCGUAAUGAUGGCCAGGCUGUCUCCACCCGAGACUCAGUGAAAUUGAACUCGCUGUGAAGAUGCAGUGUACCCGCGGCAAGACGGAAAGACCCCGUGAACCUUUACUAUAGCUUGACACUGAACAUUGAGCCUUGAUGUGUAGGAUAGGUGGGAGGCUUUGAAGUGUGGACGCCAGUCUGCAUGGAGCCGACCUUGAAAUACCACCCUUUAAUGUUUGAUGUUCUAACGUUGACCCGUGAUCCGGGUUGCGGACAGUGUCUGGUGGGUAGUUUGACUGGGGCGGUCUCCUCCUAAAGAGUAACGGAGGAGCACGAAGGUUGGCUAAUCCUGGUCGGACAUCAGGAGGUUAGUGCAAUGGCAUAAGCCAGCUUGACUGCGAGCGUGACGGCGCGAGCAGGUGCGAAAGCAGGUCAUAGUGAUCCGGUGGUUCUGAAUGGAAGGGCCAUCGCUCAACGGAUAAAAGGUACUCCGGGGAUAACAGGCUGAUACCGCCCAAGAGUUCAUAUCGACGGCGGUGUUUGGCACCUCGAUGUCGGCUCAUCACAUCCUGGGGCUGAAGUAGGUCCCAAGGGUAUGGCUGUUCGCCAUUUAAAGUGGUACGCGAGCUGGGUUUAGAACGUCGUGAGACAGUUCGGUCCCUAUCUGCCGUGGGCGCUGGAGAACUGAGGGGGGCUGCUCCUAGUACGAGAGGACCGGAGUGGACGCAUCACUGGUGUUCGGGUUGUCAUGCCAAUGGCACUGCCCGGUAGCUAAAUGCGGAAGAGAUAAGUGCUGAAAGCAUCUAAGCACGAAACUUGCCCCGAGAUGAGUUCUCCCUGAGACUUUAAGUCUCCUGAAGGAACGUUGAAGACGACGACGUUGAUAGGCCGGGUGUGUAAGCGCAGCGAUGCGUUGAGCUAACCGGUACUAAUGAACCGUGAGGCUUAACCU